AUCCAGCUGACGAGUCCCAAAUAGAACGAAACGCGCGUCAAGCUGGAU
Molecule: non-coding RNA, 48 nt
Filed under: Schistosoma mattheei
Lineage: Eukaryota; Metazoa; Platyhelminthes; Trematoda; Strigeidida; Schistosomatidae
Source: RNAcentral